Molecule: ribosomal RNA, 426 nt
Filed under: uncultured bacterium
Lineage: Bacteria
Description: bacterial SSU rRNA
Rfam family: Bacterial small subunit ribosomal RNA
Source: RNAcentral
UAAGGAAUAUUGGACAAUGGGCGGAAGCCUGAUCCAGCCAUGCCGCGUGAAGGAAGAAGGCGCUCAGCGUUGUAAACUUCUUUUAAAUGGGAACAAUAACCUCGACGCGUUCGGGGCUUGAGGGUACCAUUAGAAUAAGCACCGGCUAACUCCGUGCCAGCAGCCGCGGUAAUACGGAGGGUGCAAGCGUUAUCCGGAAUCACUGGGUUUAAAGGGUGCGUAGGCGGUUUGAUAAGUCAGUUGUGAAAUACCCCGGCUUAACCGGCGGUCGUGCGAUUGAUACUGUUGGACUUGAAUCAGGUUGAGGUAGGCGGAAUGUGGCAUGUAGCGGUGAAAUGCAUAGAUAUGCCAUAGAACACCGAUUGCGAAGGCAGCUUGCUGGACCUAGAUUGACGCUGAGGCACGAAAGCGUGGGGAGCAAACAGG